Long non-coding RNA from Manis pentadactyla (Chinese pangolin), 1837 nucleotides. RefSeq lists it as uncharacterized. The transcript has 3 exons. Lineage: Eukaryota; Metazoa; Chordata; Mammalia; Pholidota; Manidae. The record is from RefSeq and is a predicted model, not a curated record.
GAAAAUGUGAGUCAUAUCUUCCCCCCAGGAUUUCUGUGAGACUCAACUGAGACAAUAUAAGAGUCUUCCAAUAUGUGACUUUCCCCUAUCCAGCUGGGCUGAGCCGCUUCCCAGAGCACACGCUGCCCCGAGGCCUUGGGCACAUCCAUCUCCCCUGCCCCUGCACACCCUCUUUUCUUCUUUCAGCCUGACUAAUUGUCACUCCCAUUCAGGGCCUGGCUACUUAUCCCGUCUAACCUGCGCAACUCCUGACUGUAAGCUGUCUGUGCCUGGAGAUCGAGACCAAAUAUUACUCAGAGCUCAGUGGAUCAUAAAAGCUGUUGAAAGAAGCAGAGGUCAGUAAGGUCCCUCAUCAGCUGGCCGGGCCUCCCACCACUGCCCAUGAGUCUGUAUGCACUUUAACCUUGGGUUGUGGCUCUGCCCACACCGAAUGGAUGAACAGGUGGCCACCCGAGCAAGGCUGCUGUGUAGCUGCCAUCCACCUGCCGCUUGUACCCAUGCACCCUCCUGUCCAGAAGCCAAGCUCAGGCUUUGACUUCAUUCUACAGCUACUUCUGGGGCAUCCCCCAUGCAGCCAUGGGUGUGAACUGAAGACAGGGCUGUGGUGAAACAGAGGUGACAAUGACAUAGCACAUCAAUGUGAUAUUCUGUGGAAUGUCUACACAAUCUAGGUCUCUUCACACUAUACUCUGGUGGCGAGGGGUGGGGGGAAAGUUAACUUGGUCCUGGGUCAAACCAUAAGCGAAUGUUGUCCAUCCUGUGUAAAUGCGAGCUGCUCCUGCCUCUCUUUUCUGACUGGAAGAGAAAAGAAUGCGUUUCCCAACUCCUGGGCCACCUAGCAAGUAGCCGAGGCCUUACCGUACUGCUCUACGAGGACACCCAUCUGUUGUAGCAGCUGACAUGGGGAUUGUUUUGUGGUUGAGUUUUUGGUAGUCUCCCUUCCAGGAUUCAGCUGGUGGAGGAACGACCACCACUGCAUCCUCUGGAGCCUUCAGGGUGGCACUUAUUUCCACCAUCCUCCCUGGCUAUAUUAUCGCUUGCCUGGGGAAGGGCAGUUUCAUAGGCUCACACUUGGUGUUUUCCAUUACAAAAGCAUUUUACCCCACAAGCCAACAGCCCAUUUUGGGGACUGUGCCAACUUGCAAGUAUGCUCUAUUUCAAUUAUAUAUUCAGGGACCGGACAGAUGACCCCAGGUGGGUGUGCAGGCCUAGGGACCCUUGGCCAGGACUCCCCUUAUUGUCUGGUUCCUACAUGUCAAUACUCUAGCAAAAGGACUGUGAUGACAUUUCACAUGUCUAAAUCUCAAUUCCAACUCUGACUCUUGAAACGUUUGGGUUUUCCUCUGUUUCUAGUGUGCUGUUAGCUUAGUAAAUGGCCAUUGGUCCCUUUGGUCAAGGGAUGGGUGGCCAUACUGUGUAUAUUUGCCAUGGUGUUGCAGGAGACCUGGCCUCCUCUUCAGUUACAGGGUUCCAGGCCCAGAAAAUGAGCAAAGGGCUGUAAGAUUUUAUUGGGAUGACUAUACUCAGCCUCCUGACCAUCCAUCCUCAAUUUCUUCUGAUGGUGUAAGGUGGAUGCCACCCUUGCAGUAGUCAGCCCCAGCUGACCCCAUGGGCGCUCUGGAGCAAAAAUGGCCCGUCACGAGGAGGCGGAGUCAAGAUGGCGAUGUGCGUAGAGCAGCGGAGAUCUCCUCCCAAAACCAUAUAUAUUUUUGAAAAUACAACAAAUACAACUAUUCCUAAAAGAGAGACCAGAGGACACAGGACAAUAUCCAGACCACAUCCACACCUGAGAGAACCCAGCGCCUCGCGAAGGGGGUAAGAUACAAGCCCCGGCCCC